GAUGAACGCUAGCUACAGGCUUAACACAUGCAAGUCGAGGGGAAACGACAUCGAAAGCUUGCUUUUGAUGGGCGUCGACCGGCGCACGGGUGAGUAACGCGUAUCCAACCUGCCCACCACUUGGGGAUAACCUUGCGAAAGUAAGACUAAUACCCAAUGAUAUCUCUAGAAGACAUCUGAAAGAGAUUAAAGAUUUAUCGGUGAUGGAUGGGGAUGCGUCUGAUUAGCUUGUUGGCGGGGUAACGGCCCACCAAGGCUACGAUCAGUAGGGGUUCUGAGUGGAAGGUCCCCCACAUUGGAACUGAGACACGGUCCAAACUCCUACGGGAGGCAGCAGUGAGGAAUAUUGGUCAAUGGGCGAGAGCCUGAACCAGCCAAGUAGCGUGCAGGAUGACGGCCCUAUGGGUUGUAAACUGCUUUUAUAAGGGAAUAAAGUGAGCCUCGUGAGGCUUUUUGCAUGUACCUUAUGAAUAGGGACCGGCUAAUUCCGUGCCAGCCGCCGCGGUAA
RNAcentral lists this ribosomal RNA (508 nucleotides) under uncultured bacterium. Its description in RNAcentral is "partial 16S ribosomal RNA". It matches the Rfam family "Bacterial small subunit ribosomal RNA", at positions 28 to 523 of the family's 1533-position model. The record is from RNAcentral.